RNAcentral lists this ribosomal RNA (501 nucleotides) under uncultured bacterium. RNAcentral describes it as "partial 16S ribosomal RNA". It matches the Rfam family "Bacterial small subunit ribosomal RNA", at positions 30 to 523 of the family's 1533-position model. The record is from RNAcentral.
AUUGAACGCUGGCGGCAGGCUUAACACAUGCAAGUCGAGCGGGGGAAGGUAGCUUGCUACCGGACCUAGCGGCGGACGGGUGAGUAAUGCUUAGGAAUCUGCCUAUUAGUGGGGGACAACAUCUCGAAAGGGAUGCUAAUACCGCAUACGUCCUACGGGAGAAAGCGGGGGAUUUUCGGACCUUGCGCUGAUAGAUGAGCCUAAGUCGGAUUAGCUAGUUGGUGGGGUAAAGGCCUACCAAGGCGACGAUCUGUAGCGGGUCUGAGAGGAUGAUCCGCCACACUGGGACUGAGACACGGCCCAGACUCCUACGGGAGGCAGCAGUGGGGAAUAUUGGACAAUGGGGGGAACCCUGAUCCAGCCAUGCCGCGUGUGUGAAGAGGGCCUUAUGGUUGUAAAGCACUUUAAGCGAGGAGGAGGCUACUUUAGUUAAUACCUAGAGAUAGUGGACGUUACUUGCAGAAUAAGCACCGGCUAACUCUGUGCCAGCCGCCGCCGUAA